CCUACGGGAGGCUGCAGUGGGGAAUAUUGGACAAUGGGCGAAAGCCUGAUCCAGCCAUGCCGCGUGUGUGAAGAAGGCCUUCGGGUUGUAAAGCACUUUCAGUGGGGAAGAAAGCCUUGGGGCUAAUACCCUCGAGGAAGGACAUCACCCACAGAAGAAGCACCGGCUAACUCCGUGCCAGCAGCCGCGGUAAUACGGAGGGUGCGAGCGUUAAUCGGAAUUACUGGGCGUAAAGCGCGCGUAGGCGGUCUGAUAAGCCGGUUGUGAAAGCCCCGGGCUCAACCUGGGAACGGCAUCCGGAACUGUCAGGCUAGAGUGCAGGAGAGGAAGGUAGAAUUCCCGGUGUAGCGGUGAAAUGCGUAGAGAUCGGGAGGAAUACCAGUGGCGAAGGCGGCCUUCUGGACUGACACUGACGCUGAGGUGCGAAAGCGUGGGUAGCAAACAGGAUUAGAUACCCCGGUAUC
This 464-nucleotide ribosomal RNA is filed under the name Vreelandella stevensii. RNAcentral's name for it is "partial 16S ribosomal RNA". It matches the Rfam family "Bacterial small subunit ribosomal RNA", at positions 338 to 794 of the family's 1533-position model. Lineage: Bacteria; Pseudomonadati; Pseudomonadota; Gammaproteobacteria; Oceanospirillales; Halomonadaceae. The record is from RNAcentral.